This is a long non-coding RNA of Arvicanthis niloticus (Nile rat), 1133 nucleotides long. RefSeq lists it as uncharacterized. The record is from RefSeq and is a predicted model, not a curated record. Lineage: Eukaryota; Metazoa; Chordata; Mammalia; Rodentia; Muridae.
GUGGAUGGGUUCAGGGUAGAAGAGCCGUUGCCGCUGCCGCUCUCAGACGAGGAGUCAUCUGGAACAAGAGCCGCGGCUGGUCUUCCUGGGUUCUUGAUGCGGGAGCCCCCUGCUGUGGAGAGUACAACACUGCAGGAUCCAGAGGGUAAACUUCAGCUCCGAGGGAAUAUACAUCGUUAGAUAAAUCCCAGGAUUCUCUCUCCACAGGUCCCAGCCUCCUGCUUCCUUAGCUGGGGCCACAGCAGCUUCUCUAGACCUCCUGGGGUCACUGUCAGCCGCUUCCAAGUUAUGCCUUCUACUCUGGGACCAUCACCCAUAAGCCACUUGACCGACCUGGAAGGGCAUAGAUGCCUUCUCUGGAAGAAGAGGCUGCUUUUCAUCAGACACCAUGCCAACAGUCACUGCAUUUACCACAGGCACCAAGGCUUUAAGGGCAGCUACAGUGUCAUACCCUGCAUGGGGACAGAGAAGGACCUUGUCUGCCUGCUUGGAGCAAGCAGCAUGUUUGUGGCUGUGGAGCUGCCCAGCACACACAGGGCAAUCCUAGGGUCUCAACCAAGGUCCAAGUCAGCUGUGUUGAGAAGCUGCCAACACUAGCACCUCAGCUGCAGGCCCAGGCUCACGCUGCCUGAGGGGCACCCAUCUCUUUAUUGUCAGAUACCAUCCCUGUCUGGCAAGGCAAGUGGCUGAAUGGAUGAGGCACCCAGGAUACCAGAGCCUGGGAACUGCUGUGGCCACGGACUGCAAACAUACAGAAGGAACUGGAACCCAAACCAUUAUGUAAAUAUCCAGAAUUAAAAUCUCAGAGGCCAGUGUACACUAUUAGAACUUUUGAAAGCCCCUAGAAGUGAAUAGGUAAAGUGUGAUCUAGCCAUCCAAUAGAAGACUUGACUUUGAAUGAAAUUUAGAUACAUGCUGCUGCAACAUGGAGGAACCAUAAGGACAUUAUGCUAUGUGAAAUAAGACAGACACAAAAGGAUAAAUAGUGAAUGAUCCCACUUAACUGCACAGGCUAGAACAGGCGCAUUCACAGAGGCAGAGGGUGAAGUGGGGCUCCCCCACGCCUGAAGAGGGGACACAGAGCUGCUGUCUGGCAUGAUGAGAAGUUUGGGAAAUAAACAGUGCUGACUAUA